Long non-coding RNA from Onychostoma macrolepis, 965 nucleotides. RefSeq lists it as uncharacterized. The transcript has 3 exons. The record is from RefSeq and is a predicted model, not a curated record. Lineage: Eukaryota; Metazoa; Chordata; Actinopteri; Cypriniformes; Cyprinidae.
AUAAUCUAAAAGCACUUGUGUUAUGCAGUCAUUUGCGUCAUGCGAAGAUUGGUGUGCGUGUCUUCCCGCCCCUUCUCAUUUAAAAAAAAAGAAAAACGGUUUGCUGCUCACCACUUAAACACUGGCACCUGCAUGUCAAUGGAUAAACUCUAGGCCUAAUCUAUCAAAGUAAGAUUUAUAUUUAAUUUUAUAUUAGCCGAGUUACUGCUGCUUUUAUCUACCCUUUAAUACUUGGGUAAAGUUGGUUUUAUAUUCGCACAUUCACAAUAUUCACAAUAUUUCCGCGUUCAAUAACUUUCUAAUUAUAUGUGCAAAAAAUGUUUCUUUUGCAAAUUCUAAUCGGAGACAUCAUUGUCAACCUACUACCUUUUUUUCACCAUCGAACAAAAUGGCCAAGUAUUGUUUUAAUGGCAUACUUACUUGCGAAUGUCCGCUGAAUGUCCAAUGUAGUGCGGUUAACAAAGCAAUUGAAUGCAAUAGUCCGAAUGUGCGAAUAUAAAACCAACUUUACCCAAGUCCCUUUAAUUGGAUUUUUUUUCAACGCGACGCGGCUGGCGGACAGGCGGGAGACUCAUCGUGAAGGCGAAAGUCCUAAGAGUGUGUUAAAUGGGUAGGUAUACGUUAAAAUGCAUGUGUACACUUUUCUUCAUUGUCUUGUAUGUAUUAUUUUAAUGUAACUCGCUCACUUUCCCAGUAAAGCGGUGCUAACUAGUAUUUUCCUCCUGCAGCGCGCUGGCGGACCGGCGGGAGACUCGUGAAGACGAAAAGCUCUACGAAUACUUUAAAUAGGAGCGGCGCUGGCAGAGCGGCCGGACCCUCGGGAGACAGGCGGCCAUAAACAAGACCGUUUUAAACAUGUUCAGAUGGUAUGAAGCUGAGGAGUCUGCACAGGCCUAGGAAUAUCAUUUUAUCCUGAUCUAUUCAAGUGUUUUUGUCUAUUUUUGUUUAAUAUUUUGUUUUACCCA